GCGUGUAGGGGGGGCUCAGACCAAAGGGGGAGACACAGACUCUGCCCAGCACCCACGGUCCCCAAGAAACUCCCUUAACAGAUGAAGAAGAAAAUGAGGUCCAGUCUCUUGAAGGCAAGAUGAGGUGACCUAGCCAGGGGCCGAGGCCACGUAGCUCACUCAAGGGCGUUCCACAUGGCCACCUUCCCCCUUUCGUGGAGCCCUGGUGCGGAUGGUUUAGGGGCCUUCCAGGUGGAAAAACUGAGGUCACACAGCUAGAUGACAGCACAGAGAAGAGUGAAACCCCCGGUUGACUCAGAAGCCCACACCUGCACCGCUGACAGACUGACUCUCUGAUUCAAAAGCGGCACGCCGGUGAGGUCUGUCUCCUGCUGUACGGGCCAAGAAAUCAUCUCACAAAAGGGCGCCUCCACAGAACCUCUGCCCCACCUCUUAUUUCAGGAUGCAGACCCUAACUCCGUGCCUAGCACAGGGAAGCAGUCAAUGAACACCAGAGGAAUAGAUGAACCUAUUUGGAAGGGCAAGAAGUCGGAGAUUCCUCUGACAGACAUCUUCUCAAAGUUGCCUACUGCUCCAUCUCUGACGCCCCAAACACGAGACAAGGGGCAACCGAAAGGGCAGUGAAGACUCCCCCAGCAAUCCGCGACUCCGUGCUUGAGGAGAAGCUGAAAUCUUUUCAUCAUCCAAUCGCCAGCAGCUCACUGGAAAGCAGGCUGAAGUUCUGGAAACAAUCGGACUCACGAAAAUCAACAGGGAUGGCUACACAUUAAUUGUCCGAAGUCCAAAAUUCUGCCACUCCUUAAAGGAGGCAGAGGAGAAGGAACUAAAAACCAAGGACAAAAAAGCAACCAAGGUUAGGCAGAGAAGGACUCCAGCGCAAGGAGUAAGACUUCCAGAGGGCGAGCCGUGGCGCCCAGGGCAGAGCGGAGGCCGAGGUUUCUCUGGCAUCCUGUCUCCCACUGGGCAGGCAGGCGCGCUCUCCGGAGGAACACACAUCUUCUUCGGCCCCUCUCUCCGAGGUCUGCUCCAAGAAAAAGAAAACACGUUUAACCAGAGAUAGAGGGUAGAAAGGGCAGCCGGCUCUUAAAACUUGGGCCAUAAAUGUGCUCGAAGGUUGGUUUUGCCCUAAAAGGAAAUAAAAUUUAUGGUUUGUCAGAUAAGUAGAAAGGAAAACCCUCAGGAUGGAAACCUGGC
Molecule: long non-coding RNA, 1194 nt
Organism: Equus caballus (horse)
Lineage: Eukaryota; Metazoa; Chordata; Mammalia; Perissodactyla; Equidae
Source: Ensembl